CUACGGGUGGCAGCAGUGGGGAAUAUUGCACAAUGGGCGCAAGCCUGAUGCAGCCAUGCCGCGUGUAUGAAGAAGGCCUUCGGGUUGUAAAGUACUUUCAGCGGGGAGGAAGGGAGUAAAGUUAAUACCUUUGCUCAUUGACGUUACCCGCAGAAGAAGCACCGGCUAACUCCGUGCCAGCAGCCGCGGUAAUACGGAGGGUGCAAGCGUUAAUCGGAAUUACUGGGCGUAAAGCGCACGCAGGCGGUUUGGUAAGUCAGUUGUGAAAUCCCCGGGCUCAACCUGGGAACUGCAUCUGAUACUGGCAAGUUUGAGUAUCGUAGAGGGGGGUAGAAUUCCAGGUGUAGCGGUGAAAUGCGUAGAGAUCUGGAGGAAUACCGGUGGCGAAGGCGGCCCCCUGGACGAAGACUGACGCUCAGGUGCGAAAGCGUGGGGAGCAAACAGGAUUAGAUACCCGUGUAGUC
Molecule: ribosomal RNA, 464 nt
Filed under: uncultured bacterium
Lineage: Bacteria
Description: partial 16S ribosomal RNA
Rfam family: Bacterial small subunit ribosomal RNA
Source: RNAcentral